This 497-nucleotide ribosomal RNA is filed under the name uncultured bacterium. Its description in RNAcentral is "partial 16S ribosomal RNA". It matches the Rfam family "Bacterial small subunit ribosomal RNA", at positions 28 to 523 of the family's 1533-position model. The record is from RNAcentral.
GAUGAACGCUGGCGGCGUGCUUAACACAUGCAAGUCGAACGAAGCAUUUGCGACAGAUUUCUUCGGAUUGAAGUUGCUUAUGGCUGAGUGGCGGACGGGUGAGUAACGCGUGGGUAACCUGCCUCACACAGGGGGAUAGCAGUUGGAAACGGCUGAUAAUACCGCAUAAGCGCACAGUACCGCAUGGUACAGUGUGAAAAACUCCGGUUGUGUGAGAUGGACCCGCGUCUGAUUAACGAGUUGGUGAGGUAAGGGCUCACCAAGGCGACGAUCAGUAGCCGACCUGAGAGGGUGACCGGCCACAUUGGGACUGAUACACGGCCCAGACUCCUACGGGAGGCAGCAGUGGGGAAUAUUGCAAAAUGGAGGAAACUCUGAUGCAGCGACGCCGCGUGAGUGAAGAAGUAAUUCGUUAUGUAAAGCUCUAUCAGCAGGGAAGAUAGUGACGGUACCUGACUAAGAAGCUCCGGCUAAAUACGUGCCAGCAGCCGCCGCCG